AAUCUUGCGCAAUGGGCGAAAGCCUGACGCAGCCAUUCCGCGUGAAUGAAGAAGGUCUUAGGUUUGUAACAUUCUUACACCGGGGACGAUAAUGACGCUACCCGAAGAAGAAUCCCUGGCUAACUUCGUGCCAGCAGCCGCGGUAAUACGAAGGGGGCUAGCGUUGCUCGGAAUUAAUGGGCGUAAAGGGCGCGUAGGCGGAUCGUUAAGUCAGAGGUGAAAUCCCAGGGCUCAACCCUGGAACUGCCUUUGAUACUGGCGAUCUUGAGUAUGAGAGAGGUAUGUGGAACUCCGAGUGUAGAGGUGAAAUUCGUAGAUAGUCGGAAGAACACCAGUGGCGAAGGCGACAUACUGGCUCAUUACUGACGCUGAGGCGCGAAAGCGUGGGGAGCAAACA
Molecule: ribosomal RNA, 397 nt
Filed under: uncultured bacterium
Lineage: Bacteria
Description: partial 16S ribosomal RNA
Rfam family: Bacterial small subunit ribosomal RNA
Source: RNAcentral